This 20-nucleotide microRNA is filed under the name Drosophila pseudoobscura pseudoobscura. RNAcentral's name for it is "mir-2510-RA". The record is from RNAcentral. Lineage: Eukaryota; Metazoa; Arthropoda; Insecta; Diptera; Drosophilidae.
AAAAAGCAAUGGAUAAUAGA